This 497-nucleotide ribosomal RNA is filed under the name uncultured bacterium. RNAcentral's name for it is "partial 16S ribosomal RNA". It matches the Rfam family "Bacterial small subunit ribosomal RNA", at positions 28 to 507 of the family's 1533-position model. The record is from RNAcentral.
GAUGAACGCUGGCGGCGUGCCUAAUACAUGCAAGUCGAGCGAACAGACGAGGAGCUUGCUCCUCUGACGUUAGCGGCGGACGGGUGAGUAACACGUGGAUAACCUACCUAUAAGCCUGGGAUAACUUCUGGAAACCGGAGCUAAUACCGGAUAAUAUCUUUAACCGCAUGGUUCAAUAUUGAAAGACGGUUUUGCUGUCACUUAUAGUUGUAUCCGCGCCGCAUUAGCUAGUUGGUAAGGUAACGGCUUACCAAGGCAACGAUGCGUAGCCGACCUGAGAGGGUGAUCGGCCACACUGGAACUGAGACACGGUCCAGACUCCUACGGGAGGCAGCAGUAGGGAAUCUUCCGCAAUGGGCGAAAGCCUGACGGAGAAACGCCGCGUGAGUGAUGAAGGUCUUCGGAUCGUAAAACUCUGUUAUAAGGGAAGAACAAAUGUGUAAGUAACUAUGCACGUCUUGACGGUACCUAAGCAGAAAGCCACGGCUAACUACGUG